UACGUAGGUGGCAAGCGUUAUCCGGAUUUAUUGGGUGUAAAGGGCGUGUAGGCGGGAGCGCAAGUCAGAUGUGAAAACUCAGGGCUCAACCCUGAGCCUGCAUUUGAAACUGUGUUUCUUGAGUGCUGGAGAGGCAAUCGGAAUUCCGUGUGUAGCGGUGAAAUGCGUAGAUAUACGGAGGAACACCAGUGCCGAAGGCGGAUUGCUGGACAGUAACUGACGCUGAGGCGCGAAAGCGUGGGGAGCAAACAGG
This 253-nucleotide ribosomal RNA is filed under the name uncultured bacterium. Its description in RNAcentral is "partial 16S ribosomal RNA". It matches the Rfam family "Bacterial small subunit ribosomal RNA", at positions 524 to 776 of the family's 1533-position model. The record is from RNAcentral.